This 253-nucleotide ribosomal RNA is filed under the name uncultured bacterium. Its description in RNAcentral is "partial 16S ribosomal RNA". It matches the Rfam family "Bacterial small subunit ribosomal RNA", at positions 524 to 776 of the family's 1533-position model. The record is from RNAcentral.
UACGUAGGGUGCAAGCGUUGUCCGGAAUUAUUGGGCGUAAAGAGCUCGUAGGCGGUCUGUCGCGUCGGCUGUGAAACUUGGGGCUCAACUCCAAGCCUGCAGUCGAUACGGGCAGACUAGAGUGCGGUAGGGGAGACUGGAAUUCCUGGUGUAGCGGUGAAAUGCGCAGAUAUCAGGAGGAACACCGGUGGCGAAGGCGGGUCUCUGGGCCGUAACUGACGCUGGAGGAGCGAAAGCGUGGGGAGCGAACAGG